UGGGGAUUAGCUCAGUAGCACAGCACCUGCCUGGCAAGCAUGAGGUCUUGAGUUUGAAUCCAGAUAUCCAG
This 71-nucleotide transfer RNA is filed under the name Cavia porcellus (domestic guinea pig). It matches the Rfam family "tRNA". From Rfam's summary of the family: Transfer RNA (tRNA) molecules are approximately 80 nucleotides in length. Their secondary structure includes four short double-helical elements and three loops (D, anti-codon, and T loops). Lineage: Eukaryota; Metazoa; Chordata; Mammalia; Rodentia; Caviidae. The record is from Rfam by way of RNAcentral.